ACUCAAAGGAAUAGACGGGGGCCCGCACAAGCGGUGGAGCAUGUGGAUUAAUACGUCACUAACCGUAGAACCUUACCCAGGCUUGACAUCCCGGGAAGCCCUCUGAAAGGAGGGUGUGCCCCGCAAGGGGAGCCCGGAGACAGGUGUUGCAUGGCUGUCGUCAGCUCGUGUCGUGAGAUGUUGGGUUAAGUCCCGCAACGAGCGCAACCCUCACCGUAUGUUGCCAGCGUAAAGUCGGGCACUCUUACGGAACUGCCCGCGCAAGCGGGAGGAAGGUGGGGAUGACGUCAAGUCAGCAUGGCCCUUACGCCUGGGGCUUCACACAUGCUACAAUGGCCGGUACAGAGGGUCCCGAUACCGUGAGGUGGAGGCAAUCCCAAAAAGCCGGUCUCAGUUCGGAUCGCAGGCUGCAACUCGCCUGCGUGAAGUCGGAAUCGCUAGUAACCGCCGGUCAGCUAAACGGCGGUGAAUACGUUCCCGGGCCUUGCACACACCGCCCGU
This 501-nucleotide ribosomal RNA is filed under the name uncultured bacterium. Its description in RNAcentral is "partial 16S ribosomal RNA". It matches the Rfam family "Bacterial small subunit ribosomal RNA", at positions 899 to 1397 of the family's 1533-position model. The record is from RNAcentral.